CUACGUGCCAGCAGCCGCGGUAAUACGUAGGUGGCAAGCGUUGUCCGGAAUUAUUGGGCGUAAAGCGCGCGCAGGCGGAUCAGUCAGUCUGUCUUAAAAGUUCGGGGCUUAACCCCGUGAUGGGAUGGAAACUGCUGAUCUAGAGUAUCGGAGAGGAAAGUGGAAUUCCUAGUGUAGCGGUGAAAUGCGUAGAUAUUAGGAAGAACACCAGUGGCGAAGGCGACUUUCUGGACGAAAACUGACGCUGAGGCGCGAAAGCCAGGGGAGCGAACGGGAUUAGAUACCCUGGUAGUCCACGCCGUAAACGAUGAGUGCUAGGUGUUGGGUCCUUUCCGGGACUCAGUGCCGCAGCUAACGCAUUAAGCACUCCGCCUGGGGAGUACGACCGCAAGGUUGAAACUCAAAGGAAUUGACGGGGGCCCGCACAAGCGGUGGAGCAUGUGGUUUAAUUCGAAGCAACGCGAAGAACCUUACCAGGUCUUGACAUCCCUCUGACCGCUCUAGAGAUAGAGUUUUC
This 517-nucleotide ribosomal RNA is filed under the name uncultured bacterium. RNAcentral's name for it is "bacterial SSU rRNA". It matches the Rfam family "Bacterial small subunit ribosomal RNA", at positions 501 to 1016 of the family's 1533-position model. The record is from RNAcentral.